CCUACGGGUGGCAGCAGUGAGGAAUAUUGGUCAAUGGACGAGAGUCUGAACCAGCCAAGUAGCGUGAAGGAUGACUGCCCUAUGGGUUGUAAACUUCUUUUAUAUGGGAAUAAAAUGUUCCACGUGUGGGAUUUUGUAUGUACCAUAUGAAUAAGGAUCGGCUAACUCCGUGCCAGCAGCCGCGGUAAUACGGAGGAUCCGAGCGUUAUCCGGCUUUAUUGGGUUUAAGGGGAGCGUAGGUGGAUUGUUAAGUCAGUUGUGAAAGUUUGCGGUUCAACCGUAAAAUUGCAGUUGAAACUGGCAGUCUUGAGUACAGUAGAGGUGGGCGGAAUUCGUGGUGUAGCGGUGAAAUGCUUAGAUAUCACGAAGAACUCCGAUUGCGAAGGCAGUUCACUGGACUGCAACUGACACUGAGGCUCGAAAGUGUGGGUAUCAAACAGGAUUAGAUACCCCGGUAGUC
Molecule: ribosomal RNA, 460 nt
Filed under: uncultured bacterium
Lineage: Bacteria
Description: partial 16S ribosomal RNA
Rfam family: Bacterial small subunit ribosomal RNA
Source: RNAcentral